Molecule: long non-coding RNA, 2456 nt
Organism: Brachypodium distachyon (stiff brome)
Lineage: Eukaryota; Viridiplantae; Streptophyta; Magnoliopsida; Poales; Poaceae
Exons: 3
Source: RefSeq, a predicted model, not a curated record
ACGAACGCGAUUCGGAUUAAUUUUGUCAGGCACACGUGCGCACGCGUCGAAACGCUGCUCUUGGGCCGCCGUGGGGACGGCUGCUUGGCCGCGGUGCUGACCCCGGUCUGAUUCAACCAGGACGUGUUCGUGGGGCUGACGCUGAUGGCCCGCCGUCGGCGCGCUAAUCUCGCCGUAACCCCGGUCUGAUUCAACCAGCACGAUCUCGUGGGAGGGGAGAUGGCGAGCAGGUUCUGGAGGUAGUACGCGGACCGGCAGUUCCACAAGUGGGAGAAGACGGUGCUGUGGGACACGGGGGAGCCGUACCGCCCGCCCUGCUCCUUCGCGCCGCUCGUCGGCACGUACGUGGCCGCCUUCUGCACCGCCGUCGUCGUUGCUUUCACCGAGCAGUUCUACAAGGCCAGGGCGCCUCGGCUCGACACCACAACCCCUCCUGCCCCUGUCUGCGCAGGCUUCGUGCGCGAGGUGCUCGACGAAAUGCCUAGGCAUGUGCGCAGUAUUGUUCCAAUAGAAUAAUUCAGCUCCUGGCGUUAUUUGAGUUCUUUAGUGACUAGAUUCCACUGAUCAUCUCAUCUAGUUGAUGACAUCAACACAGUGCUCGUUUCCUUCAAAUUAUAUGAAGUGUCAAAUUGUGGCCAAAAACAUGGAUUCGUUUGAGCUGGUUAUGGAGAAGUAUUGGAUUUGGGAGGACCACCUAGGCGAGGCCAUGCCCAUCAUGUCACCCAGGAUCUAAUUGGCCCAUAGAGGAUGGUGAACCAAGGGUUCCCUGCUUUAUCCAGAUGCCUGAUGAAGCCAAGCCGGCAUAGAAGGUCUUGAGGUUUGCACACAAAUUCUCUUAGUUGAUGCUCCAGUCCAUAGCACUCGUUUUCUUGAUCGAAUGGCUCUUGGAAUUUACUACUGCUGUGUAGUUAUUACUACUCUUAUCUCUGCAAUUUGUAGUCUGGUAGUUGUGAAAUGUCUCUUUCCAUCGAAUAAUUGAUUGCUAAUUCGAUCUUUAGAACAAGCUUAUUUGAGUUUUUAUUGGUCAGAAUGACAUAACAAAAAGAGUUUCCAUGUGCACGAAAAUGCAAAGGGUUUGCCAUGUGUGCGGUAGCACAAACAGUUUCAUACUGAUCUCGGAUAUACAUUCGUGGAGAUUGGGAUACGAUGUCUUAAGAAACGUUGGAAAUGCAUUGUUUAAAUCCACGAACUACUUUGCUACAAGAUCUGUUUUGCAAUCCUAUGACGUUAUUUUUUUUACUUUGAAAAUGUUUCUUUUAUGGCUUCUUUGAAGACACUUUAGUAUUUUUAAAGACCAUGAGCUCUGGCAUUCACUAAAGGAGGUGGCACCAUUGUCAGUUCUAGGAGGUGCUUUGGUAGAGCUUAAACAGAGUCCACAUCACCAAACCAAUUGUUUAUUGCCAACACCAAAUAAUCUUUUCCCACGCAAACUAUAGUUAUAAUAACCAGCAAUCAAGCAUUAUGCAUAAUGAAAUGCUUGAUUUCAAAAAGUGUGGCAUGAACGUUGCCCGUCCACAUGGCAAAAAGCUGCUACGAGCUUGUAUGAAUUACAAUGGGUUUCUUCGAAAAUUGAAGCGAUAAAAAUAACAGUUCAUCUCUUCCAUGCUAAAGGAUUUCAUUUGCAUAUUUCCGGUGAAUUAGGUGCAAACUCAUGAAAACAUGGUUUUAUGGCACUGUAUCUAUUUGAUGGUAUUAAAUUUAUGCCAAAUUCAUUUGAAUUUUGGAGUUGGUCAAAAAAAUUAUGUUGGAUUCUUUUAUUAUCAAUAUGAUAUGUCUAUGUUUGCCCUAUCUUGUAGGACUAUAUGUAGUACUGGUUCUCGAGUUCACAAGAGAGAUGCUAUGCUUCUCCAAAUACAGUGAUAACAGUAUUGUGGUUUUGCAUUGUCUUUAUUAUAAAAAAUUACAGUCUUCCAAGAAUUUCUGCAUAUAGUUGUUUAUAAGCGUGGCCGACUUGUGGUGAGCUUCGGGACCAUCGGUGGAGUUGACAGAGUGUUGGGACGAAUGAGGAAUAACCCAUAUUAAACAAUGUACCUGGGAUACCAAUUACAUAUUAAACAAUGUACCUGGGAUUCUGAUCUUGCAGCUGUAAGUGACAUCCAGCAUACCACUAUUUUUCUGAAAUUUUCCGGCAAUACUCUAUUUUAGUACUACCUGUUUUUGUAAUGAAAAUCUAUAGCCGCUGACUAGGGGUAUUUGAUAACAAAUACUGGCUGAAGUGGUGUUCGACUGGCUUUGAUGUUUCAGCUGUAUCACCUUAAUUUUUACUUAUAUUUGUCCAUCUUAGGUUACAAACAACGAUAGUUCUGAAGCUUACGCACUUAAACAUGAUAGUGUGGCUCGCCGUGCAUUGAAAAAUACAUGUCUCGGUGUCUUCAAAGUUGCGAUCCAAUAUUGGAAUUAUGUCCCGCACAAUGUAUCUUAAUAUAUUUUCUAGUGAUGUUGCAGUUUAUCUUAAA